This is a long non-coding RNA of Bombus huntii, 1743 nucleotides long. RefSeq lists it as uncharacterized. NCBI's taxonomy places the organism in Eukaryota, Metazoa, Arthropoda, Insecta, Hymenoptera, Apidae. The record is from RefSeq and is a predicted model, not a curated record. The transcript is spliced from 2 exons.
AUAAAUUAUUUUUAUUGGACAUACGAUAACACUGAUAAAGGGAGAUCGGGUAAUUCAUUCCUUUUUAUUGUUACUUGAUAUAAAAUAGCUCUGCUUCAGGAUUAUACAUACGUAUAUAUAUAUUGAGAAUUAUACAUUAGCAGCUUCGCAAUGUAACUUUUUACUGUACGCCUACUCUUUGGCAUAUCUCGACAGUGUCAUUAUAGAUUCGUGUAAGAAACAACCCUUUUGAGCAAACGUCAAUGACACGAUGAAACGCCAUUCCUGUCUACAACUCAUUAGAGUGUAAGAUUUGCUCUUGUAUCGUUACAGUCCAGGUCCUUGACCUGUCCCAGUCCACCUCGUUGCCUGCCGCGUCCGUCAACACACUCCCUAUAUAUACACGAAUUGGCUGGUUCAAUCGCCUGUUUCUUUCCCUUGAUUCACGUCGAUUGAUAAUAUUCAAGAAUCAGUUUGGCUAUCCAAUAGCAACGGUAAUUUUCGUUGAAAAGUGAUAAUCAAGAAAAAAAUUCAAUUGACACUCGCGAAACCACGUUGCAGCGACGUUACACCGCCUGCACAGCCAAAAAGCGACGAGAAUCACCGGAGAUGGCCGAACGGCUGUCAGUUGUCGGCGAAAGCCGGCGCACAGCGCACGUGCGAGUAAAACAGUGACAGAUAGACGGAAAACGAGGAGGCUAAAGAGAGAACGAGUGAACAAGAAGGUUAGAAACGUGGCGUGCGCAAGUGGGAACGAGAACGAGGUAGGGCGGUGUAGGAAGAGGGGGGUCUGAGAAUCGACUGGACGUCGCGUCGUCGUGCACAUUCGUCGCGUUUUCACGGUCAGGCUUUAUCGAUCGUAGAAGGAGGGCGAAGGAGCGGAAGGAAAGGAGUUUCGGAGUGCAUCGAAAGGCCGUUGAACCCGGCCUUUCGGUAGUCGCGGCGUCCAUAAUGCAACGAUUGUUGUACCCACCCGCUCCAGCAGCUGCCGAACUCGUAACGCUCUUUUAACGAGUGCACCAAACCUGACCAAGUGAAAUAUUUCUGUCUACGAAUCCGGUUUCGACUUGUUCACGCCCUUCGUGGUUUUUCCAUGUAUCCCUAGAGAGAGCGAAAGGGAGACGAAGCACGGGGUGGUAGAAAGAAGGAACGCGAGAGAGGCGGUGUACCAUAUACACACUAUACACUAUAUACAUGGCUACGAGCGACAGAGUAAAACGAGUGAGAAAGAGAGACAGAGAUAGAGCGAGAAGUCGAGAGAGGCGACGCAUGUGCGAGCAACAACGAUGUAUUUCGGUGCAGCGCUCCAUACACCGCGUGGAGGUCAAUGCCCGUCCUUACUCCGGCCCAAGGAAGGAGCGGGAGGUUACGGUAGAAGGGAUAGAGGGGCUAGAGGUCGGAGAAGGGAGACACAGGGAGCAAGCACUGAGCGGAAAAAAUGAACAAACAUUCAGAAAGACCAGAAAAGGGAUGCAUGGAGUGCUCGUGCACUACUCCUCUCUACCCUUUCUUUGCUUCGUGUUAACUUUCAUUAAUUGACGAGCUAAAAUUUAUGCUUGAUUUGGACGGUCCCGUUUUAAAACGACGUCGCCCUUUCUCCAUUUAGUGUUCGCGUUCAGAAAACAAGUACGAUUUAACGUUUGUUAUUUACGAUUCCUUAAAAUAUAAUCACUAAGUAGAUUAUUCGUUAUUUAGGCAAUAUAUUAUAUAAGCAAUAUUCGUUAUUUCUAUCUUUCGAAUAUUAUUGAUCAUUUUGUGCAAUCA